AUUGAACGCUGGCGGCAUGCCUUACACAUGCAAGUCGAACGGUAACAGGUCUUCGGAUGCUGACGAGUGGCGAACGGGUGAGUAAUACAUCGGAACGUGCCCGAUCGUGGGGGAUAACGCAGCGAAAGCUGUGCUAAUACCGCAUACGAUCUACGGAUGAAAGCGGGGGAUCGCAAGACCUCGCGCGGACGGAGCGGCCGAUGGCAGAUUAGGUAGUUGGUGGGAUAAAAGCUUACCAAGCCGACGAUCUGUAGCUGGUCUGAGAGGACGACCAGCUACACUGGGACUGAGACACGGCCCAGACUCCUACGGGAGGCAGCAGUGGGGAAUUUUGGACAAAGGGCGCAAGCCUGAUCCAGCCAUGCCGCGUGCAGGAUGAAGGCCUUCGGGUUGUAAACUGCUUUUGUACGGAACGAAAAAGCUCUCUCUAAUACAGGGGGUGAAUGACGGUACCGUAAGAAUAAGCACCGGCUAACUACGUG
RNAcentral lists this ribosomal RNA (482 nucleotides) under uncultured bacterium. Its description in RNAcentral is "partial 16S ribosomal RNA". It matches the Rfam family "Bacterial small subunit ribosomal RNA", at positions 30 to 507 of the family's 1533-position model. The record is from RNAcentral.